Molecule: ribosomal RNA, 253 nt
Filed under: uncultured bacterium
Lineage: Bacteria
Description: partial 16S ribosomal RNA
Rfam family: Bacterial small subunit ribosomal RNA
Source: RNAcentral
AACGUAGGUGGCUAACGUUAUCCGGAUUUACUGGGCGUAAAGCGCGCGCAGGCGGCUUCGCAAGUCGGGCAUGAAACCUCCUCGCCUAACGGGGAGAAGCUGUCCGAUACUGCGAGGCUUGAGGUCGGUAGAGGGUGGUGGAAUUCCGCAUGUAGUGGUGAAAUGCGUAGAGAUGCGGAGGAACACCAGUGGCGAAGGCGGCCACCUGGACCGAUCCUGACGCUAAAGCGCGAAAGCUAGGGUAGCAAACGGG